RNAcentral lists this ribosomal RNA (253 nucleotides) under uncultured bacterium. Its description in RNAcentral is "partial 16S ribosomal RNA". It matches the Rfam family "Bacterial small subunit ribosomal RNA", at positions 524 to 776 of the family's 1533-position model. The record is from RNAcentral.
UACGUAGGGUGCAAGCGUUAUCCGGAAUUAUUGGGCGUAAAGAGCUCGUAGGCGGUCUGUCGCGUCUGCUGUGAAAACUGGGGGCUCAACCCCCAGCCUGCAGUGGGUACGGGCAGACUAGAGUGCGGUAGGGGAGAUUGGAAUUCCUGGUGUAGCGGUGGAAUGCGCAGAUAUCAGGAGGAACACCGGUGGCGAAGGCGGGUCUCUGGGCAGUAACUGACGCUGAGGAGCGAAAGCGUGGGGAGCGAACAGG